GACGUAGGGCGCGAGCGUUGUCCGGAUUUAUUGGGCGUAAAGAGCUCGUAGGCGGUCUGUCGCGUCUGCUGUGAAAUCCCGAGGCUCAACCUCGGGCUUGCAGUGGGUACGGGCAGGCUAGAGUGCGGUAGGGGAGAAUGGAACUCCUGGUGUAGCGGUGGAAUGCGCAGAUAUCAGGAAGAACACCGAUGGCGAAGGCAGUUCUCUGGGCCGUAACUGACGCUGAGGAGCGAAAGCGUGGGGAGCGAACAGG
RNAcentral lists this ribosomal RNA (253 nucleotides) under uncultured bacterium. RNAcentral's name for it is "partial 16S ribosomal RNA". It matches the Rfam family "Bacterial small subunit ribosomal RNA", at positions 524 to 776 of the family's 1533-position model. The record is from RNAcentral.